RNAcentral lists this transfer RNA (70 nucleotides) under Mesorhizobium sp. INR15. RNAcentral describes it as "tRNA-Gln". The record is from RNAcentral. Lineage: Bacteria; Pseudomonadati; Pseudomonadota; Alphaproteobacteria; Hyphomicrobiales; Phyllobacteriaceae.
GCGAGCGUCGUCUAAUGGUAGGACGGGCCUUUGGGGUAAGAACGCGCGGUUCGAAUCCGCGCCGCUCGCA